AUUCUGGUACAGAGCUGGGAAAAUCACUUCAGUGGGCCUGGUGUUGUUUUGCUCUGGGCUAGGGACUCUGGGGUUUUAUUAAUGGGGUGCAGAUGAGAAACACACACAGUUCAGUUUUGAUGCAUAUUAUACAUGGUGCUAAGCUGACCCUUGACAUUUGCAGUAUCUGUACCUUAGUCCAGUAUCUUACGUCAGAUCACGAACACCACUUCAAAGACUUGUGGCUUUGCUUUAACUUUGAACAGAGUGGGCUGCAAUUUUGGAUCUGCAUAGAGGAUUCAAAUCUGGAUUUGUGAGCUUGAUGUGUCAUUUUUUCCCUCCGUGUCUCUCAGCAGUUAUCUCGUUGUAUCAUCUUGUUAUCCCAUGACAACGAUGCAAUUAAGAGCCUUGUGACCGGCUUUGGAGAGGGAAGAAAAAAAAUCACUGCUGUUUCUGAAACUUCUGAAGGGCAACAUGGAAACUCCCAUGAAUUCUGCUGCAUUUGCUUCAGAAUGUAUUUAUCGUUCUGUUAUUUUUAAGCUAGUAUUUUAUAACUCUCCGUUAACACGUCAAAAAUGUUACUGUUGCUCUAAGUUCUAAAUUAGAAUUGAUGAACGUUUCCUCACCCCCAAUAUGUGUCCCACACUAGUCAAGAUGAAUCUUCAUUUUCUUGAUGUGUAAGGAAUAUAUUCCUUCUCUCACACAUUGGAAAACUAGUCCUUUCCUAAGGUAAGUGUUGAAUACUCCUGCUAUGUAAUGGAGGUGCCAGGAAGUAUACAACAGGCAGCCUGCCAAUACGUUAUCCGCCAUUUAUUCUCAGGGUGCCUGGCACCACAGCUAAAGCAGGGCAAGAUUGUGAUCUACCAUGUGUAGGUGUGCAUGAGAGUGGGGAAAGGACACAAAGAGCCUCUCCCUCUCCUAGCAACCCUUCACAGGGACAGUGCCUGGAGAACCUCCAAAAGACAUGAUGUUAGCUGCAUGCACAGCAGCAUUGCCUUCUCCAAGGCUUUAUCUUGACACCGAAAUAGGUGGUGGUGCCUCCCAGAACUUUAACCGGGAAUUGUUUAACACAAUAUCCACUGCAGCCUUUUUUCCUAGUCAAGCUAAGGCGCACAUGGGGGACGGAAGGACAAAGAUAGAGGUGUGUCCAUCCACUGCUUCCCUGCACUUGCUAGCAGAGCUGGCCCUAGAUGGGGAGUGCGCCUUGCACUCUUUGAAAGGGUGCAACAACAGUCAUGCUCCCCCUGUGUGCCUCAGCGCUUGGGGCAGGGCAGGAGAGGGUUCUGUGCUUGCCUCAGAGCUAAUGCUGCCAAACACUUCUGCUGGGGUAAUGAACCUCUAUAUAGCACCCCAUUGAGUGCCUGUGUUUUAAAGGCAUAAUACCUUAUAGUUGGUUGAUAGUUGGCGAAAUACUAGCCAUAUUCAGUUUAAAAUAUAUAAAUCUGCUGUUUCAUUGCACUUGUGGGUUACCCAUAUUCCAUGUCUUCUUCUAGCAUUCUGCAUCCGCUGCGCUAUUUGGAGCUACAAAUCUUAGAGGUUUAAGUUGUAGUUCUGGAUGGAGGGAAAUAUCUCUCUAGAUCUAGGAGUGAAAUUCUUUUUAUCCAAUCCAGUAACAUAUAUGCCUUCUGGUCCAUAUGAAUUCUAUGUCGAAUUUAUCCAGUAUCUUCAAAUAGUGUCUCAUUGAUAGGAAUGAAUAAACCAGUUUAUUUAGAUAAAAUAACCGGCCUGCACCUUCCUCCAAAACUUGAACUGAGCACAAAUCUCUUUUGAAGAGUUUGAAAAGUGUUUUCCACCCCCUCUCAUAUAACUGUUUUUCCUGAUUUUGAGAUGUAGGCUUGCAGCAGAAAUACCUGAAUUCUGCAACAAAGGUUAUUCUUGUGGUGUUUCUGGCUAGGCUGCAAUCCAGGACAACUAGAAAACUCGCAUUAAGCUCCUGUUCUCAAGAUAUUUCCACACUGGUUUUCAAACCAAAGAAUGUCUCUUAUAUGGCCACAUUUCUGGAUGUUUAUCUGAAUCAAGGUCCUGGGCAUCUUGCUGUUUGGCCAAUAUAAUUCAGAGUCCUACUAAUUACAUUUUCUUCAGCAUAACAUCUGCCAUUGCAUGCAUGCUCAAUGCCUAUGGCAAAUUAGCCAGUCCAAAGAAUGGUGCUGGUAUCAUUCUGGCCCCUCCUUUUCCCUUCUACAAGCCCUUUAGUCUUUGUUCAGCACAAUCAGUCCGUGCUAGCACACCGUGGGAGUGUGACAAAGCAGAGUUGAGGCAGUGGUUCCAGCAGGAAAUCACAGAGCUUGCUCUUCAAUUUACUUACAGUAAAUAUAGGCGGAAGAUUAAUGUUGAGUAAGAGGUCAAUGAGAGUAGUCAAAGAUUUCAAAUGUCUAUCCCUUUUAUCCCUCAUGUUUGUUAACUUCGUUUUCUUUUCAUCAAGGCUUCCAUCAGUCUGUCUCCAACUGGCUUAGUUCCAGAAGAACACCCAGUCCUAGCCUCUGAAAGACAUAAUUUACAGCCUCACAAACUUACAAUGAAAAAGACCUAGGGAAAAUGUUGCCACCUAGGAGCAGUGAUGUACUGGGGGAGUAAGUCCACAGCCCACUUGAUGGUAUUUAUAUGCAUUAUGCCUUUGAAAAAAGUAAGUGGCACUGGAGACACAUGCCAGAAGCAGCACUUGCUGCACCCUUGAAAAGAUGUAAGACAGCAGAGACUUGCCAGAGCACAGGACUGUGGAGAAAUAUUUGUUUUAAAGUGUAUUAAAGAAUUUUUUUAAAGGAAAACUGAGAAAGACUCAUCCAGACUUUGCAAUCAGAGGUCAGUAUAUUCAACUCUACUAACCUGGGCACUGGAGAGCAGAAAGCAGUGGACAGCUUUGGAGAGGUGGGCACAAAGAGGGGACCCUGGAAUCCUUGGGGCAUGGAGGUUUUGCCCUUCUGCUUCUCCAAAGGGAACCUGCUGGUAUUUCCAGGUCCCUCCCUGGGGAUUUGCUCUAAGAUGAUUCAAGAGGACAACUCAGAAAAAGAAAGAAGGGGCAAAAAUCUGGGAUUUCCUACAGGAAGACAAAAGUACUCAGGAAGCUCUAUGUACUUCUUUUUUUAAUAAUAAAGGAAUGUGUUUAAAGAA
This is a long non-coding RNA of Chrysemys picta bellii (western painted turtle), 3087 nucleotides long. RefSeq lists it as uncharacterized. The record is from RefSeq and is a predicted model, not a curated record. NCBI's taxonomy places the organism in Eukaryota, Metazoa, Chordata, Testudines, Emydidae.